This 650-nucleotide ribosomal RNA is filed under the name uncultured marine bacterium. Its description in RNAcentral is "bacterial SSU rRNA". It matches the Rfam family "Bacterial small subunit ribosomal RNA", at positions 96 to 780 of the family's 1533-position model. The record is from RNAcentral.
UGGCAGACGGGUGAGUAACAUGUAGGUAUCUUCCCUUUGGUGAGGAAUAACACGAGGAAACUUGUGCUAAUACCUCAUAAGUCUUUACGGAGAAAGCUUUAUGCGCCAAAGGAUGAGCCUGCACUUGAUUAGUUUGUUGGUGGGGUAAUGGCUUACCAAGACUUUGAUCAAUAGCUGAUCUGAGAGGAUGAUCAGCCACAUUGGGACUGAGACACGGCCCAAACUCCUACGGGAGGCAGCAGUAGGGAAUAUUGCACAAUGGAGGAAACUCUGAUGCAGCGAUGCCGCGUGAGUGAAGAAGGCCUUUGGGUUGUAAAGCUCUUUCGUCGGGGAAGAAAAUGACUGUACCCGAAUAAGAAGGUCCGGCUAACUUCGUGCCAGCAGCCGCGGUAAUACGAAGGGACCUAGCGUAGUUCGGAAUUACUGGGCUUAAAGAGUUCGUAGGUGGUUGAAAAAGUUGGUGGUGAAAUCCCAGAGCUUAACUCUGGAACUGCCAUCAAAACUUUUCAGCUAGAGUUUGAUAGAGGAAAGCAGAAUUUCUAGUGUAGAGGUGAAAUUCGUAGAUAUUAGAAAGAAUACCAAUUGCGAAGGCAGCUUUCUGGAUCAUUACUGACACUGAGGAACGAAAGCAUGGGUAGCGAAGAGGAUUA